This 480-nucleotide ribosomal RNA is filed under the name Blastocystis sp. RNAcentral's name for it is "SSU rRNA". It matches the Rfam family "Eukaryotic small subunit ribosomal RNA", at positions 460 to 953 of the family's 1831-position model. The record is from RNAcentral. Lineage: Eukaryota; Bigyra; Opalinata; Blastocystidae.
GGAGGUAGUGACAAUAAAUCACAAUGCGGGACUAUACGUCUUGCAAUUGGAUUGAGAACAAUGUACAACUCUUAUCGAUAAGCCAUUGGAGGGCAAGUCUGGUGCCAGCAGCCGCGGUAAUUCCAGCUCCAAUAGCGUAUAUUAACGUUGUUGCAGUUAAAAAGCUCGUAGUUGAAGUGUGGGUGAUCGCUGUUGUGAGACUUCGGUCUCUCGACAGUAAGUCACCCCCUUCCAGUAUCCAGUAGUGGGUAUUCAGUUACUUACUAUUGUGUGUUGGUCAUUUACUGUGAGAAAAUUAGAGUGUUCAAAGCAGGCGUUUGCUUGAAUAGAUUAGCAUGGAAUAAUAAUUGAAGGCUUUCGUGUUCGAUUUGAUUGGUUUGUUCAUGGAAGCAAGGUUAAAAGGAACAGUUGGGGGUAUUCAUAUUCACUAGUUAGAGGUGAAAUUCUCGGAUUUAUGGAAGAUGAACAAGUGCGAAAGCA